AUUGAACGCUGGCGGCAGGCCUAACACAUGCAAGUCGAGCGGAUGACGGGAGCUUGCUCCUUGAUUCAGCGGCGGACGGGUGAGUAAUGCCUAGGAAUCUGCCUGGUAGUGGGGGACAACGUUUCGAAAGGAACGCUAAUACCGCAUACGUCCUACGGGAGAAAGCAGGGGACGUUCGGGCCUUGCGCUAUCAGAUGAGCCUAGGUCGGAUUAGCUAGUGGGUGGGGUAAUGGCUCACCAAGGCGACGAUCCGUACCUGGUCUGAGAGGAUGAUCAGUCACACUGGAACUGAGACACGGUCCAGACUCCUACGGGAGGCAGCAGUGGGGAAUAUUGGACAAUGGGCGAAAGCCUGAUCCAGCCAUGCCGCGUGUGUGAAGAAGGUCUUCGGAUUGUAAAGCACUUUAAGUUGGGAGGAAGGGCAGUAAGUUAAUACCUUGCUGUUUUGACGUUACCGGCAGAAUAAGCACCGGCUAACUCUGUGCCAGCCGCCGCAGUAA
This 500-nucleotide ribosomal RNA is filed under the name uncultured bacterium. RNAcentral's name for it is "partial 16S ribosomal RNA". It matches the Rfam family "Bacterial small subunit ribosomal RNA", at positions 30 to 523 of the family's 1533-position model. The record is from RNAcentral.